CCAGACGGUUGGACGGCCGCCGGUGGUGCAAGCCAUGGGAGGAAAGUCCGGGCUCCACGGAAGUACGGUGCCGGCUAACGGCCGGCGGGGGCGACCCCAGGGACAGUGCCACAGAAACAUACCGCCUUCGGGUUCGCCCAGGGUAAGGGUGAAAUGGUGCGGUAAGAGCGCACCGCCUCGCUGGUAACAGGGAGGGCAGGGUAAACCCCACCGGGAGCAAGACCGAAUAGGGGCGGCCGGCGCCGUGCGAAAGCAUGGGCGCGAAACGAUUUCCGGUUUGCCGCCCGGGUUGGUUGCGUGAGGCGGGCGGUAACGUCCGCCCCAGAUGAAUGGCCGUCCAGCGUCCCUAGGGGCGUGGACAGAACCCGGCUUACAGACCGUCUGGAUUU
RNAcentral lists this RNase P RNA (389 nucleotides) under Acidocella aromatica. RNAcentral describes it as "Bacterial RNase P class A". It matches the Rfam family "Bacterial RNase P class A". Rfam says of the family: Ribonuclease P (RNase P) is a ubiquitous endoribonuclease, found in archaea, bacteria and eukarya as well as chloroplasts and mitochondria. Its best characterised activity is the generation of mature 5'-ends of tRNAs by cleaving the 5'-leader elements of precursor-tRNAs. Cellular RNase Ps are ribonucleoproteins. Lineage: Bacteria; Pseudomonadati; Pseudomonadota; Alphaproteobacteria; Acetobacterales; Acidocellaceae. The record is from Rfam by way of RNAcentral.